This 496-nucleotide ribosomal RNA is filed under the name uncultured bacterium. RNAcentral describes it as "bacterial SSU rRNA". It matches the Rfam family "Bacterial small subunit ribosomal RNA", at positions 29 to 505 of the family's 1533-position model. The record is from RNAcentral.
AGUGAACGCUGGCGGCAGGCCUAACACAUGCAAGUCGAGCGGCAGCGCGUCCGACCACCCUCGGGUGGUCGGAUGGCGGCGAGCGGCGGACGGGUGAGGAAUGCAUCGGAAUCUGCCUCGUUGUGGGGGAUAACGUAGGGAAACUUACGCUAAUACCGCAUACGACCUACGGGUGAAAGUGGGGGACCUUCGGGCCUCACGCGAUGAGAUGAGCCGAUGCCGGAUUAGCUAGUUGGCGGGGUAAAGGCCCACCAAGGCGACGAUCCGUAGCUGGUCUGAGAGGAUGAUCAGCCACACUGGGACUGAGACACGGCCCAGACUCCUACGGGAGGCAGCAGUGGGGAAUAUUGGACAAUGGGCGCAAGCCUGAUCCAGCAAUGCCGCGUGUGUGAAGAAGGCCUGCGGGUUGUAAAGCACUUUUGUUCGGGAAGAAAUCAUGUCGGUUAAUACCCGAUGUGGAUGACGGUACCGAAAGAAUAAGCACCGGCUAACUUCG